Molecule: ribosomal RNA, 301 nt
Filed under: uncultured bacterium
Lineage: Bacteria
Description: partial 16S ribosomal RNA
Rfam family: Bacterial small subunit ribosomal RNA
Source: RNAcentral
CAGCAGCCGCGGGAAUACGUAGGGUGCGAGCGUUAAUCGGAAUUACUGGGCGUAAAGCGUGCGCAGGCGGUUCGUUAAGACAGAUGUGAAAUCCCCGGGCUUAACCUGGGAACUGCAUUUGUGACUGACGGGCUAGAGUAUGGCAGAGGGGGGUAGAAUUCCACGUGUAGCAGUGAAAUGCGUAGAGAUGUGGAGGAAUACCGAUGGCGAAGGCAGCCCCCUGGGCCAAUACUGACGCUCAUGCACGAAAGCGUGGGGAGCAAACAGGAUUAGAUACCCCAGUAGUCCCUGUCUCUUAUAU